This 310-nucleotide ribosomal RNA is filed under the name uncultured bacterium. RNAcentral describes it as "bacterial SSU rRNA". It matches the Rfam family "Bacterial small subunit ribosomal RNA", at positions 43 to 366 of the family's 1533-position model. The record is from RNAcentral.
UCAGGCCUAACACAUGCAAGUCGAGCGGGGACUUCGGUCCUAGCGGCGAACGGGUGAGGAAUGCUUGGGAAUCUGCCCAGUAGUGGGGGAUAACGUUUCGAAAGGAACGCUAAUACCGCAUACGUCCUACGGGAGAAAGGGGGGGAUCUUCGGACCUCUCGCUAUUGGAUGAGCCCAAGUCGGAUUAGCUAGUUGGUGAGGUAAAGGCUCACCAAGGCGACGAUCCGUAGCUGGUCUGAGAGGAUGAUCAGCCACACUGGAAGUGAGACACGGUCCAGACUCCUACGGGAGGCAGCAGUGUGGAAUAUUG